AAAAAACAUCAUCAACAUGCCCACUCGCUUGCUGUGAAUUCUCCGCACAAUUACCUGCUCUAUUCACACAUGGGCUCAAUCGAGGUUAGGACUCUGUAU
Molecule: long non-coding RNA, 99 nt
Organism: Sander lucioperca (pikeperch)
Lineage: Eukaryota; Metazoa; Chordata; Actinopteri; Perciformes; Percidae
Exons: 3
Source: RefSeq, a predicted model, not a curated record